RNAcentral lists this ribosomal RNA (252 nucleotides) under uncultured bacterium. Its description in RNAcentral is "partial 16S ribosomal RNA". It matches the Rfam family "Bacterial small subunit ribosomal RNA", at positions 524 to 776 of the family's 1533-position model. The record is from RNAcentral.
UACGUAGGUCCCGAGCGUUAUCCGGAUUUAUUGGGCGUAAAGCGAGCGCAGGUGGUUUAUUAAGUCUGGUGUAAAAGGCAGUGGCUCAACCAUUGUAUGCAUUGGAAACUGGCAGACUUGAGUGCAGGAGAGGAGAGUGGAAUUCCAUGUGUAGCGGUGAAAUGCGUAGAUAUAUGGAGGAACACCGGUGGCGAAAGCGGCUCUCUGGCCUGUAACUGACACUGAGGCUCGAAAGCGUGGGGAGCAAACAGG